CUGCCACUAGCACUCCCUGAUAGGGAAUAUUUUGUUGAUUGAACCGUAAAAGAAUAUAUACAAAAUAUAACUGCACAUGAAAGACAGGCAAGGUCAAUGAAAUUAGAUAUGACACUAGAACUGUUCAAGGCAUGGAAAGACUUGCACAGCUUUUGCCAAGUCAUCAUGAAGAUGAGAAACUCAUGAACGCAUCACAAAGAAUGG
This 204-nucleotide unclassified non-coding RNA is filed under the name Hevea brasiliensis (rubber tree). Lineage: Eukaryota; Viridiplantae; Streptophyta; Magnoliopsida; Malpighiales; Euphorbiaceae. The record is from RNAcentral.